Molecule: ribosomal RNA, 436 nt
Filed under: uncultured bacterium
Lineage: Bacteria
Description: partial 16S ribosomal RNA
Rfam family: Bacterial small subunit ribosomal RNA
Source: RNAcentral
ACGGGAGGCAGCAGUGGGGAAUAUUGGGCAAUGGGCGAAAGCCUGACCCAGCAACGCCGCGUGAGGGAAGAAGGUCUUCGGAUUGUAAAUCUCUGUCGCAGGGGACGAAGGAGUGACGGUACCCUGUGAGGAAGCCCCGGCUAACUACGUGCCAGCAGCCGCGGUAAUACGUAGGGGGCGAGCGUUGUCCGGAAUUACUGGGCGUAAAGGGUGCGUAGGCGGCACACUAAGUUGGAUGUGAAAUACCCGGGCUUAACCUGGGGGGUGCAUCCAAAACUGGCGAGCUAGAGUGCAGGAGAGGGAAGCGGAAUUCCUAGUGUAGCGGUGAAAUGCGUAGAUAUUAGGAGGAACACCAGUGGCGAAGGCGGCUUUCUGGACUGUAACUGACGCUGAGGCACGAAAGCGUGGGGAGCAAACAGGAUUAGAUACCCUGGUA